RNAcentral lists this ribosomal RNA (158 nucleotides) under uncultured Meliniomyces. RNAcentral describes it as "5.8S ribosomal RNA". It matches the Rfam family "5.8S ribosomal RNA". Rfam says of the family: 5.8S ribosomal RNA (5.8S rRNA) is a component of the large subunit of the eukaryotic ribosome. It is transcribed by RNA polymerase I as part of the 45S precursor that also contains 18S and 28S rRNA. Lineage: Eukaryota; Fungi; Ascomycota; Leotiomycetes; Helotiales; Helotiaceae. The record is from RNAcentral.
AAACUUUCAACAACGGAUCUCUUGGUUCUGGCAUCGAUGAAGAACGCAGCGAAAUGCGAUAAGUAAUGUGAAUUGCAGAAUUCAGCGAAUCAUCGAAUCUUUGAACGCACAUUGCGCCCCUUGGUAUUCCGAGGGGCAUGCCUGUUCGAGCGUCAUUA